AGGCAAGCCAGUCCCAUCCUUCCCAGCAACUGGGACUUUCCGGGCAGGGCUCCCCAGCGCGGGUUCAGCUAAUUAAGGAAGCAAUUAGCCUCCCCUGAGGCUAUUCAUGCUUCCUCACCCACAGUUCUCAGGUUCUGUGAGACCAGAGCCUCAGUCUCCCGUGAGCAGAGGGUGUGUGUGUGGCUGCCACUAUUCUGCAGACACGCUGGCUCCACCCCAGAGAGUUGCAGGGCCAGGAAAUCUGCAUUUAAACAGACCCUGGCUCUCACACUUCGGAAACUGCCCGAAGCACCUCUCAAAUAUGGGACAGGUGCUUAGGCCGAAAAUCAGGAAUCUCUUGAAUGAAUGCAUGAAGGUGGAGCCCUUUCCCUUAAUGCGCAGGUGAAAAGGGCACCUCGGUGGAUUCUACUAAAUUUAAUAGAAGACCCAAGACGGGGUGGGGGAGACGUGCUUUGUGCUCACCUGGCUGGUUCAUGGGCAGGUGGCCUGGAGGACCCAGCCCUGGCAGCUGUGGGGUAGCUCCAGCCUGGGCCGGACAGCUUCUUUCAUCGCAGGCACCACUGCGGACAUUGCUGGGAGGAAGAGGAGGGAGAAGCGACGGGCUUCAUUAGGAACGGAAAUGCCAAGAUUAGUGAAAGAAUGAAAAGAGUCAAAACAGCCUAGAAAAGGCUUCAAUGAUCCUCAAACUGGAUGAUCGAAUCCCGAAUAAUUGGGAAUCAACAGUAAAGGCCAAAGCUUUCGAUGGAUUGGACGAGGCGCGUCCACCCUGGGGAGGGCCAUCAUUUUAUUCAGUCUACUGAUGCAAAUGCUUAUCUCUUCUGGAAACACCUUCACAGACAGACCCAGAAUAUAGUUGAACCAAAUACUGGGCACCUCAUGGCUCCAACAGGUUGACACAAAAAAUGAACCAUUGCAGAAAACGAAGAACAGUCACCAACUCCCACCCAUGCAGCUGGCUCAUUUGCUGGGCUGCCCUCCCCAGCAGGUGGCACAGGAAUCCCUGCCUUGGCAGGGAGGAGGCCUGGGGUGUGUGCAGGUACCCAUGGGAAGUUUCUUUGCCAUGGGGAAAGCCAGAGUCACCCCUUGCUUGAACACAAGAGUUGGAGGUUUCAGUGAGCUGAGAUUACGCUAUUGCACUCCAGCCUG
RNAcentral lists this long non-coding RNA (1146 nucleotides) under Homo sapiens (human). Its description in RNAcentral is "HSALNT0406258". The record is from RNAcentral. Lineage: Eukaryota; Metazoa; Chordata; Mammalia; Primates; Hominidae.